Molecule: long non-coding RNA, 837 nt
Filed under: Mus spicilegus (steppe mouse)
Lineage: Eukaryota; Metazoa; Chordata; Mammalia; Rodentia; Muridae
Description: lncRNA (ENSMSIG00000000348.1)
Source: RNAcentral
UUUGGCCUUACACAUUAGCCCAAUCUGGGCCUACGCUGCUGUGUUUCUCAAUUCCUUCCAGGUAUUUUUAGGCCCUGAACACAUAGAAUGGGGGCUCUGGAACAUUGGAACUCAGAGAGGAUGUGUGGUUUGCCAAGACUAAGCAGGAGGGCCCAUACAUCUUCCUUGUCUACGCUGCUUACAUUGGAGAGGUGAGUAUGGUGAGCAUACUGUGGGGGGAAAAAAACCAAGGGAGGGUAGACUGGGGUCCCUAUUCCUACUUCUCACAGAGUCAAGGGUGGACCCACCUGUUGGGCUCUAGGGAAGGUCAAGGCCUGACCUGUGCUCCCCUGCAGGUGCAGAACACACUACGGAGGAUGACAGAGAAGAAGGCAGCCGAGGUGCUCAGGGCAGAGCAGGUGCACCUGGCCAAGGGUGAGGGGGCCCUGGGGCCAGAUGGACAGGGCCAAGCACAACACCUCUUCUUUCAGACACUCUCUGGCCCUUCUGACCUACAGGCUUCAUGUCCCUGGGCCAUGGCCCAGGAGAAUGCCCGAGUCUGGGAUUCUCAGAGAAGAUCUGAUGCUCUGAGAGGCUGUGGAGCUGACAGCGUUUAAGACUUCAGGGGUCUAAAAGGCACGUAUGUGCAGGGUUUUCCUACCAGCCUUUCAGGAGCUCAGUGGCCAGAAGACUUCAGCUCAUCAUCGGAAACCCAGACUGAAUUGUACAGCAGGCAGCCCCAAGUGAGAGAAAAGCAGCUCUGGACCAGACCGGCUGGUCCUUCUGUUUGUCUUAGUUCCUUCCACUUUCCAGAGGCGCCCAUCAGUGCCUGAUAAUAAACCAGGUGUUGAAGCUUUC